Molecule: non-coding RNA, 22 nt
Organism: Takifugu rubripes (torafugu)
Lineage: Eukaryota; Metazoa; Chordata; Actinopteri; Tetraodontiformes; Tetraodontidae
Source: Rfam
ACAAAGGCUCUUUUAAGAGCCA